RNAcentral lists this transfer RNA (67 nucleotides) under Macrophthalmus japonicus. RNAcentral's name for it is "tRNA-Asn". The record is from RNAcentral. Lineage: Eukaryota; Metazoa; Arthropoda; Malacostraca; Decapoda; Macrophthalmidae.
UUGAUUGAAACCAAAGCAGAGGUGUAUCACUGUUAAUGAUAAAAUUGAAUUCCAAAUUCCUUUCAAG